UCAUAGCAUCUCUUCAUGUGAAAUCUUAUCUCCAAUAAUAAAAUUUCCAUAUGUACUUAUAUAACAUUUUUUUUAGACUAUUCCGUUCACAUCGAAUUUAAAGGUAUCGUAAUACCUUAUUCUUAAUAUUCCUUCAAGUACAUAUUAAUUCAUUUCUAGGGUUUUGGAAUUUUGUAACCCAUAUUUCCUCUAUUCUUAUUCGAAUAGCAAACCAUAUAGGUUUUACUUGAAAAAUUUUAAAUAAAUCCUCAAAUUCUUAUCUAGGUUUUAUUCUUUAACCUUUAUUCUAAUCAUUCAAGAUUUUAGAAAUUUUCGGGGUAUCACAUUCACCCCUUCUUCUAAGAAUUUCGUCCUCGAAAUUAAAGCAUACUAAUCUCUGCUCAUUCUCUUAUCCAUAACUAGGUUUUCAACUUAACCUUUACAAUUUCCUCCUUUGAGGAUUUCUCUUUCUAUCAUCACAUUUCAUCAUAACUACUCACUAGGAGUUUACAUUAUUUCAUAUCAAUCAUCACGUUCUACCACAACAUUACUCUGAAGGGUUUAAAAAAAACUUUUCAUAUCUGUCUGAGGGAUCAUAAAAAUUAUGAACUUUGAACUCCGAGGUUUAGGGGUAUUUCUACCUGCUACCUCUUUCAAUUAAGAAAGAAAGGUACUCUACCUCUUAAACAUUUCUUUAAUAGGUAUGUUUACAAUCACGAAGAAGGUAAACUACCGAUUCUGGUACUUUAGAUGAUCAGUCUAUUGUACCUUAGUAAUCCGAAC
This 762-nucleotide long non-coding RNA is filed under the name Panax ginseng (ginseng). RNAcentral describes it as "long non-coding RNA (PGIN_LNC002023)". Lineage: Eukaryota; Viridiplantae; Streptophyta; Magnoliopsida; Apiales; Araliaceae. The record is from RNAcentral.